This 690-nucleotide ribosomal RNA is filed under the name uncultured Lachnospiraceae bacterium. Its description in RNAcentral is "bacterial SSU rRNA". It matches the Rfam family "Bacterial small subunit ribosomal RNA", at positions 762 to 1453 of the family's 1533-position model. Lineage: Bacteria; Bacillati; Bacillota; Clostridia; Lachnospirales; Lachnospiraceae. The record is from RNAcentral.
UGGGGAGCAAACAGGAUUAGAUACCCUGGUAGUCCACGCCGUAAACGAUGAUUACUAGGUGUUGGUGGGUAUGACCCAUCGGUGCCGCAGCAAACGCAAUAAGUAAUCCACCUGGGGAGUACGUUCGCAAGAAUGAAACUCAAGGGAAUUGACGGGGACCCGCACAAGCGGUGGAGCAUGUGGUUUAAUUCGAAGCAACGCGAAGAACCUUACCUGGUCUUGACAUCCCUAUGAAUAACGGGCAAUGCCGUUAGUACUUCGGUACAUAGGAGACAGGUGGUGCAUGGUUGUCGUCAGCUCGUGUCGUGAGAUGUUGGGUUAAGUCCCGCAACGAGCGCAACCCUUAUCUUUAGUAGCCAGCAGUAAGAUGGGCACUCUAGAGAGACUGCCGGGGAUAACCCGGAGGAAGGUGGGGAUGACGUCAAAUCAUCAUGCCCCUUAUGACCAGGGCUACACACGUGCUACAAUGGCGUAAACAAAGAGAAGCGAAGUCGUGAGGCAGAGCGAAUCUCAAAAAUAACGUCUCAGUUCGGAUUGUAGUCUGCAACUCGACUACAUGAAGCUGGAAUCGCUAGUAAUCGCAGAUCAGAAUGCUGCGGUGAAUACGUUCCCGGGUCUUGUACACACCGCCCGUCAGACCAUGGGAGUCGGAAAUGCCCGAAGUCGGUGACCUAACCGAAAGGAAGGAGC